Acanthosepion pharaonis is the source of this 114-nucleotide non-coding RNA. The record is from the annotation of a GenBank genome assembly. Lineage: Eukaryota; Metazoa; Mollusca; Cephalopoda; Sepiida; Sepiidae.
UUACAGCCAUAUCACGUCGAAACACUGGUUCUCGUAUGAUCACCAAUGUUAAACAACGUCGAUCCAGGUCAGUACAUAGAUGGGUGACAGCCCAGGAAUACCAGUUGUUGUAAG